CCAGUAUUUUUAAUGGUGGGUGCUUUCGCCAAAAGAUUCUUUGGCAACUGUAUCAACUGAGCCUGAGCCGAAGAAGAUUGCUGCAUUAGAUGAAGGAGAUUUGAAGUGGAUCGAACAGACUGAGAAAUGUGGUCGGCCACCAUGGCUUUGGCCGUUCCGUCUCUGUUGCUUCGACCUGAUGCGGAAGCGGUCGCCAUUGUUGG
Molecule: unclassified non-coding RNA, 203 nt
Filed under: Hevea brasiliensis (rubber tree)
Lineage: Eukaryota; Viridiplantae; Streptophyta; Magnoliopsida; Malpighiales; Euphorbiaceae
Source: RNAcentral